UUCGCUCGACACAGCACGAAACGGGUUAGUCGUGCGACAGAGAGUGGAUCCAGCGCCCGUGGAGAGGAGGAGAUCCUGCGAGGGGAUCCAAUCGACGAGCGCAUGAUGCGGGCGAUUGGUCUUCUGACCAAGAUCCUUUCCGCUGAAUCCAGCCGAUGCGCCCAAGGAAAUCCAGCAGAUGUGUGGUGCGGGUGGGGAUCCAGCGGACGCGUGCGAUGAGGGUGACUAAAGGGCCGCUCCAUCGAGCCGAGGCAGGCAAUCUACCUGCAAGGUGGAGUACGAGGGAGGGACGCGGGCGAUGGCCGACGCCUCAUCUGAUGGAAACUGCUCCAUUGAGACUUGAAAGACGCAAUUAUACUUCGGCCGUUAUACUUCAUUUUCUGAGCGCCCAUUCAUGGCGAGUGAUGUGCUGAUCCUUUCCGGCGCCGAGUGGUGCAACAUAUCUUUUCGCGAGCACCUUCUCGUUGCAGCAUGGUGGCCACGCCUGACGGCUUUACUGUUCAUGGUAGAGCAGUGAUCAGCGGCAAGAGAGAUGGGGGAAAUAAUAGGGUUUACAAGUAGGUACAAAUCUUCAGAGACUAUAAACACCAGGUCUGGAGGGUUGAAACAGAUUCCAAGCACAUCUUCUUGGGAUGCAAAGAACGAAUUUAAGCUGGUAUUUCUUAAUUAAUUGAACACCAGGUCAGGAGAGUUGAAACAGAUUCCAAGCACUGAGUCAUGGUGGAGCUGAUGUGUUCUUUCUAUACGUAUUCCCUGGGAGAUGAUCACUUAAUCUGUAAAAUUUCAUAGUUCCCGCUGGGAGAGUUCAUGCAGAUUUGCUUCCUCAUGUAUAAUUAUAAGUUGUCUAUUCACAAACGUUCAGUUCAGCUGCUGCAGAUGAUGCUUGGUUAUUGAGGUACUGCCAGUACAUAUGUUAACUCUAAACUGGACCAUUGAUUCAGCAACACUACUUUUUGUUUGACUGUAUCUUCAGCAAGGGUACUCUUAUUUCAUGAUUCUAUA
Long non-coding RNA from Triticum dicoccoides, 1002 nucleotides. RefSeq lists it as uncharacterized. The transcript is spliced from 3 exons. NCBI's taxonomy places the organism in Eukaryota, Viridiplantae, Streptophyta, Magnoliopsida, Poales, Poaceae. The record is from RefSeq and is a predicted model, not a curated record.